This 468-nucleotide ribosomal RNA is filed under the name uncultured bacterium. RNAcentral describes it as "partial 16S ribosomal RNA". It matches the Rfam family "Bacterial small subunit ribosomal RNA", at positions 28 to 507 of the family's 1533-position model. The record is from RNAcentral.
GACGAACGCUGGCGGCGUGCUUAACACAUGCAAGUCGAACGGAAAGGCCCUGCUUUUGUGGGGUGCUCGAGUGGCGAACGGGUGAGUAACACGUGAGUAACCUGCCCUUGACUUUGGGAUAACUUCAGGAAACUGGGGCUAAUACCGGAUAGGAGCUCCUGCUGCAUGGUGGGGGUUGGAAAGUUUCGGCGGUUGGGGAUGGACUCGCGGCUUAUCAGCUUGUUGGUGGGGUAGUGGCUUACCAAGGCUUUGACGGGUAGCCGGCCUGAGAGGGUGACCGGCCACAUUGGGACUGAGAUACGGCCCAGACUCCUACGGGAGGCAGCAGUGGGGAAUAUUGCACAAUGGGCGGAAGCCUGAUGCAGCAACGCCGCGUGCGGGAUGACGGCCUUCGGGUUGUAAACCGCUUUCGCCUGUGACGAAGCGUGAGCGACGGUAAUGGGUAAAGAAGCACCGGCUAGCUACGUG